GAAUUUGGACAUGGGCGCAAGCCUGAUCCAGCCAUACCGCGUGGGUGAAGAAGGCCUUCGGGUUGUAAAGCCCUUUUGUUGGGAAAGAAAUCCAGCCGGCUAAUACCUGGUUGGGAUGACGGUACCCAAAGAAUAAGCACCGGCUAACUUCGUG
RNAcentral lists this ribosomal RNA (154 nucleotides) under uncultured bacterium. Its description in RNAcentral is "partial 16S ribosomal RNA". It matches the Rfam family "Bacterial small subunit ribosomal RNA", at positions 359 to 507 of the family's 1533-position model. The record is from RNAcentral.